GACGAACGCUGGCGGCGUGCCUAAUACAUGCAAGUCGAGCGAAUCAAUAGGAGCUUGCUCCUGUUGGUUAGCGGCGGACGGGUGAGUAACACGUGGGCAACCUGCCUGUAAGACUGGGAUCACAUCGGGAAACCGAUGCUAAUACCGGAUAAUUCAUUCCCUCUCAUGAGGGAAUGUUGAAAGUCGGUUUCGGCUAACACUUACAGAUGGGCCCGCGGCGCAUUAGCUAGUUGGUGAGGUAACGGCUCACCAAGGCAACGAGGCGUAGCCGACCUGAGAGGGUGAUCGGCCACACUGGGACUGAGACACGGCCCAGACUCCUACGGGAGGCAGCAGUAGGGAAUCUUCCACAAUGGACGAAAGUCUGAUGGAGCAACGCCGCGUGAGCGAUGAAGGCCUUCGGGUCGUAAAGCUCUGUUGCUAGGGAAGAACAUGUACCGGAGUAACUGCCGGUACCUUGACGGUACCUAACCAGAAAGCCACGGCUAACUAUGUGCCAGCAGCCGCCGUAA
RNAcentral lists this ribosomal RNA (512 nucleotides) under uncultured bacterium. RNAcentral's name for it is "partial 16S ribosomal RNA". It matches the Rfam family "Bacterial small subunit ribosomal RNA", at positions 28 to 523 of the family's 1533-position model. The record is from RNAcentral.